Molecule: ribosomal RNA, 261 nt
Filed under: uncultured prokaryote
Description: partial 16S ribosomal RNA
Rfam family: Bacterial small subunit ribosomal RNA
Source: RNAcentral
UACGGAGGAUGCAAGCGUUAUCCGGAUUUAUUGGGUUUAAAGGGUGCGUAGGCGGGAUAAUAAGUCAGUGGUGAAAGCCUGUAGCUUAACUAUAGAAAUGCCAUUGAUACUGUUGUUCUUGAGUACAGUUGAGGUAGGCGGAAUGUGUAAUGUAGCGGUGAAAUGCUUAGAUAUUACACAGAACACCGAUUGCGAAGGCAGCUUACUAAGCUGGUACUGACGCUGAGGCACGAAAGCGUGGGGAGCAAACAGGAUUAGAUA